GCCGAGGUGGCGAAACUGGCAGACGCACGGGACUUAAAAUCCCGUGGCCUCAGGGCCGUGUGGGUUCGAGCCCCACCCUCGGCA
This 84-nucleotide transfer RNA is filed under the name Acidobacteriota bacterium. RNAcentral describes it as "Acidobacteria bacterium tRNA-Leu". It matches the Rfam family "tRNA". Rfam says of the family: Transfer RNA (tRNA) molecules are approximately 80 nucleotides in length. Their secondary structure includes four short double-helical elements and three loops (D, anti-codon, and T loops). The record is from RNAcentral. Lineage: Bacteria; Pseudomonadati; Acidobacteriota.